UUGGUGUCUAUGUGUAAAGAAACUGGCAGGGAUCCUUUGUUUACAGUAAGGAUCAGCUGUUAGCGCUGCGUCCCGCAGCAGUACUGCCGGCGGACAGACUCGACAUUCCCAGCGAGCUGAGGAAGAAAAGACGGGGGUGUCGUGCUGGGAAGGAGUGCCGUCGCACGAGAAGGAGACAUUAUCGACCAUCUCUUCCUUCUGUAAUCAAAUGUUACGUAAGGCCCAAAAUGGCCUCCGUACAAGAAAACUGACUGAAGAUGAUGAUGGAGGAAGAGGAGGACAGAGCAGAGUCUGCAGGAUCCAGCUGUCCGUCUGUGACCAGUGACCGGUCCAAAGAACUAAAUCCUCCACUCUUCAGUGCUGAACCUGGACCAACAAG
This is a long non-coding RNA of Oreochromis aureus, 379 nucleotides long. The record is from Ensembl. Lineage: Eukaryota; Metazoa; Chordata; Actinopteri; Cichliformes; Cichlidae.